This 253-nucleotide ribosomal RNA is filed under the name uncultured bacterium. Its description in RNAcentral is "partial 16S ribosomal RNA". It matches the Rfam family "Bacterial small subunit ribosomal RNA", at positions 524 to 776 of the family's 1533-position model. The record is from RNAcentral.
GACGGAGGGGACUAGCGUUGUUCGGAAUAACUGGGCGUAAAGGGUGCGUAGGCGGUUCUUUAAGUAAGGCGUGAAAGCCCUGGGCUUAACCCAGGAACUGCGCUUUAAACUAAAGAACUAGAGGAUGGAAGAGGAAAGCGGAAUUCCUAGUGUAGAAGUGAAAUUCGUAGAGAUUAGGAGGAACAUCAGAGGCGAAGGCGGCUUUCUGGUCCAUAUCUGACGCUGAGGCACGAUAGCGUGGGGAGCAAACAGG